This 133-nucleotide small nucleolar RNA is filed under the name Citrus sinensis (sweet orange). Its description in RNAcentral is "Small nucleolar RNA Z247". It matches the Rfam family "Small nucleolar RNA Z247". Rfam says of the family: Z247 is a member of the C/D class of snoRNA which contain the C (UGAUGA) and D (CUGA) box motifs. Most of the members of the box C/D family function in directing site-specific 2'-O-methylation of substrate RNAs. The record is from Rfam by way of RNAcentral. Lineage: Eukaryota; Viridiplantae; Streptophyta; Magnoliopsida; Sapindales; Rutaceae.
GGAGUAGAAGAAGAUGAUCUUAUUUCUUAUAUCCUUGUAGGUCUUGGAGCAGAAUAUGAUCCCGUAGUUGUCAAUAUAACUGGCAGGACUUACCAACUUACCUUGCAGGAGGUGUUUUCCUUGCUACUCAAUC